Molecule: ribosomal RNA, 294 nt
Filed under: Salmonella enterica subsp. enterica
Lineage: Bacteria; Pseudomonadati; Pseudomonadota; Gammaproteobacteria; Enterobacterales; Enterobacteriaceae
Also listed under: 2 other names
Description: partial 23S ribosomal RNA
Rfam family: Bacterial large subunit ribosomal RNA
Source: RNAcentral
GGGCGCUGGAGAACUGAGGGGGGCUGCUCCUAGUACGAGAGGACCGGAGUGGACGCAUCACUGGUGUUCGGGUUGUCAUGCCAAUGGCACUGCCCGGUAGCUAAAUGCGGAAGAGAUAAGUGCUGAAAGCAUCUAAGCACGAAACUUGCCCCGAGAUGAGUUCUCCCUGAGACUUAGAGUCUCCUGAAGGAACGUUGAAGACGACGACGUUGAUAGGCCGGGUGUGUAAGCGCAGCGAUGCGUUGAGCUAACCGGUACUAAUGAACCGUGAGGCUUAACCUUACAACGCCGAAG